GUGCUCGCUUCAGCAGCAUGCAUACUGAAAUUGGAAUGAUACAGAGAAGAUUAGCAUGGCCUCUGUGCAAGGAUGACAUGUAAAUUCAUGAAGCAUUCCAUAUUUUU
This 107-nucleotide small nuclear RNA is filed under the name Propithecus coquereli (Coquerel's sifaka). The record is from RNAcentral. Lineage: Eukaryota; Metazoa; Chordata; Mammalia; Primates; Indriidae.